This is a non-coding RNA of Paramisgurnus dabryanus, 1727 nucleotides long. Lineage: Eukaryota; Metazoa; Chordata; Actinopteri; Cypriniformes; Cobitidae. The record is from RefSeq and is a predicted model, not a curated record.
GGUUCACGGUGGUGGCGAGUUGGGCAACUUGCUGCUUUAAGUUUUCCAAAAGCAAUAGGCCAUGUAGCUGAGCCGCUGAAACAUUGUGAAAGUUGAAAAAAAGUGUUAAACUGGAGGGAAGACUCAGGUUAUUUUAAACAGAAUUGGUCCUGUUUCAUGGCCAACUCUGAAGGUUGGCUUGAAGAGGAGGUGACCUCCAGGCUCUCCACCAACGCUAGCUAAUUGAGAAAAGGUUCUGCAACAUCAUCUGUAUCUGGGACAUAACCAAUAUCUCUGGAAGGAAGUGUGGCUGCAGGUGUUUCCUGGCCGAUAUCAAUUAACCUUCUAUUAAGGUCCACCCUGGCUCUCCUCCUCAAAGCUGAACUGGAAACAGUUUGCAUCAUGUUUUCAGCAUCUGUAAAAAGAAAUGGAAAGUAUGUUAUAAGCUUGAUGGGUCAGAAGAGAUGGAUCGAGAUGAGGAGCCAUGCUCUACAUGUAAGCCCUCCUGUGAUGCCCAAACAUAGUGGUCAGACCCAAAGAUGGAGGACUACACCUAUUCAAAAGGGCCAACCAUCACCUGCAGAGCGAGCACUACACAAUCCCCAUAAUUAUCAUGCCCUGUUGCAGUAUUUUGAAGAGUUAUGCAGACUCUCUCUUGUAUACAGGGAUUCCACUCAUUGCAUUUCACACCCUUGUUACCUGCCUACAACCAUUUGAUCCUACUUCUUUAUCCAUGCCUGCUGUGGACCAAAUCCUAAUGACCUUAAUGAAACUAAGCCUUCCUUGUGCCUGCAUUCCACUUCCUCUGCACAUGAUAUCCCUGUCUUUCCCUGUCUGACUGCAUUCUCAACCAUUAGAAAAUGUUUUGAGGUUCCUGUUGUUAUUAUUUUGUCUCUGUGAAUAUGAGUAUGAAUAUGAACAGAAAAUGAGUUCUCCAAUGGUCUUCAGAGACUUUAACUAUUGUUUUAUUUUAAAGCUACAAAUGUGUGUGUUUUACAUGUAAAUGUUUUGCUGGAGAAACGUGCUUGUGCAUCUGACUUUAAAAUAAAGUUUAACCUGAAAAACUAAAACCCAGGCCUGGUGAUGUGGAACUUUAAGGCUCUAACUGGAAAACACUAGUUCCAGUUCAGUGACAGUACGCGCCGGAAGUCGCGCCUAUAAUUCGCGCAAAGUGUCAUCAUGGGGUGAAGGGUAGCAUCACAAAAUGUUGCUGUAUAGUUUUUAAACACUGAUAAUAUUGCUCAGCUUAAUGACAAUGCAUUUAUCUCAUGCUCUAGAUAGAAAAAAAAUGUAAAAAUGAAAAUGUUUAUUCCACGGAGUUCUUCCAUAGUUUGAGAAAAGUAUUUCGGAUGUGGUCCACAUCAGGUAGUCUCUGUCAAAACAGUGUUGGCUCAAAUCCGUUUUACAGAUUUGGGCCAGAGCAGUUUUUAGCCCUUUUUAAAUGCAGUCGGCUCAGAUAUGUAUCACAGAUUUGGGCCAUACCAGUGUAGCCUAUGUGAAAACAGUAUCGGCUCAGAUUCAUAUUGCAGAUCUGGAUCAAAUCAGUGUCAGACACAGCUAAUGUCUUUCGGUUACCUAUGGGAAAAGUGAUCUGGGCCAGAUCUGUAAAAUGAUAUAAAUACUGAACUGAUGGCAGUUAAGCUGAAACCUCUAUCUGGCACUGAUCUGGUUCAGAAUCAGAAAACGUCGCUAAGAUAGAAACGGAGGCAAGGUGCUUAAAACGGAUCCGUGCCAAAUGUAAUUGCUAU